AUUGAACGCUGGCGGCAUGCUUUACACAUGCAAGUCGAACGGCAGCACGGGGGCAACCCUGGUGGCGAGUGGCGAACGGGUGAGUAAUAUAUCGGAACGUACCCGGAAAUGGGGGAUAACGUAGCGAAAGUUACGCUAAUACCGCAUAUGCCCUAAGGGGGAAAGCGGGGGACUCGCAAGAACCUCGCGUUUUCGGAGCGGCCGAUAUCGGAUUAGCUAGUAGGUGAGGUAAAGGCUCACCUAGGCGACGAUCCGUAGCUGGUCUGAGAGGACGACCAGCCACACUGGAACUGAGACACGGUCCAGACUCCUACGGGAGGCAGCAGUGGGGAAUUUUGGGACAAUGGGCGCAAGCCUGAUCCAGCCAUGCCGCGUGAGUGAAGAAGGCCU
This 390-nucleotide ribosomal RNA is filed under the name uncultured bacterium. Its description in RNAcentral is "bacterial SSU rRNA". It matches the Rfam family "Bacterial small subunit ribosomal RNA", at positions 29 to 417 of the family's 1533-position model. The record is from RNAcentral.